GAAAAUUUUCCUGUGGCAGACAAUUAUUAGCAAAUCUACUUCAACUGUUUGAUGUCAGCUUUUGCUGUCAUUGCAAAACAGUGUCACUGCAAACCAAGUGCUGGUUGGUUUACCCAUUAGCAGUGAACAUGAGCUGGAUUUGGACUGCCAUGAGCCAAGUU
RNAcentral lists this non-coding RNA (161 nucleotides) under Dryobates pubescens (Downy woodpecker). RNAcentral's name for it is "Picoides pubescens (downy woodpecker) Eukaryotic large subunit ribosomal RNA". It matches the Rfam family "Eukaryotic large subunit ribosomal RNA", at positions 2825 to 2984 of the family's 3401-position model. The record is from Rfam by way of RNAcentral. Lineage: Eukaryota; Metazoa; Chordata; Aves; Piciformes; Picidae.